GGUUCUAUGGUGUAAUGGUUAGCACGCUGGACUCUGAAUCCAGCAAUCUGAGUUCAAAUCUCGGUAGGACCU
RNAcentral lists this transfer RNA (72 nucleotides) under Danionella translucida. It matches the Rfam family "tRNA". Rfam says of the family: Transfer RNA (tRNA) molecules are approximately 80 nucleotides in length. Their secondary structure includes four short double-helical elements and three loops (D, anti-codon, and T loops). Further hydrogen bonds mediate the characteristic L-shaped molecular structure. tRNAs have two regions of fundamental functional importance: the anti-codon, which is responsible for specific mRNA codon recognition, and the 3' end, to which the tRNAs corresponding amino acid is attached (by aminoacyl-tRNA synthetases). tRNAs cope with the degeneracy of the genetic code in two manners: having more than one tRNA (with a specific anti-codon) for a particular amino acid; and 'wobble' base-pairing, i.e. permitting non-standard base-pairing at the 3rd anti-codon position. RNAcentral also lists the same sequence under 1 other name. The record is from Rfam by way of RNAcentral. Lineage: Eukaryota; Metazoa; Chordata; Actinopteri; Cypriniformes; Danionidae.